CUCUCCCCGUGCCGAUGUCACCUCCACCGGCCCAGCUAUGCCCAAUCUGCCAGGCCCAGCCCCACACCCAGGUCGACCAUGCCCCUUGGCCUGGGGAAACCGGCCACUGGGAAUCUGAACUGACUUUGAGGCCCCUCUGGGGGCCAGCAGGGCCCGGUACAUCCAACGGAUGGAAUGAUCCUGGAGCAUAUUUGUGAGUGGAACAAGAGGCUUCUGGAGCAGAAUGUUCCCACAGAUCUUAGCUGUGGGGGGGAGGGGGGGCGUGACUGAUUCCGUUUAAAGGACAAGCAAGUUUUCCAGGAAGGGCACAUUUGAGCACAGCGUCAAAGGUUGGGUAGGAUUGCCGGGCAGGCAGAGAAAGUGGAGGGAUCCUAGGUCAUGAGAAGCACAGGUAAGAGUGGAAAGGUGGUAUAUCUGUGCUUCAGGCUCAUCGGGAAGAUGAAUGGGAGCUGACACGCAGGCCUGGAGGAAAUAAGGCUGGGAUGCAAGAGGGCCCAGAUAAGGACAGACAAACAUAAAGGCACAGAGACAGUUAGUCAGGAGGGAGCUUGGAGGUGAUACAAAUCUUUUUCUCAUUGUAUUUCUUUUUAAUGUUUAUUUAUUUUUGAGACAGACAGAGACAGGAUGCCAGUGGGUUAGGGGCAGAGAGAGAGAGGGAGACCCAGAAUCCAAAGCAGGCUCCAGGCCCCGAGCUGUCAGUACAGAGCCACGCGCAGGGCUCGAACUCACGAGCUGUGAGAUCGUGACCUGAGCCGAAGUCGGACACUCAACCGGCUGAGCAGCUGGGAGCCCCUCAUUGUAUUUUUAUUUUUAGCUUUGUAUGUGUAUGUGUAUGAAGUAGAGGGAGAGGAUGUGACAGCAACUCAAAUCUUUUUGACCUACGUACGCUGUUCCUCUCCUCUUAAGAUACUGACUGCUUUACCUCGUGUGGUGACCGGUCUUCUGUCUUCUUCGGAGCCUUCCCUCCUAUCUCAAGUCCUCAUCCACCCCUCCAGAUGGCCCCUGGCAUAGUCCACCGGCCCUGCUGGGCCUCCUCCAGGCACUGGCUACCAACGUGGAAGAUGCCCAGGUGACUUGUGUCUUCAGCAACUAAGGACUUCAGGACCAAGAGGGCCCUCUGAGCGGUAGCUGGUUCCUCAGAGCGGGAGCUCCGGUCACAAUCAGGCCAAGAGUGGACAGCCCUCCCAAUGCGUCUUGCCAAAGCCAAAUCACGCCUGGUCCAGGGUUUGACGGUCCUCUCCAGCUGUGGGAAAGCUCACGCCUAGAGCAGCAUCCUCCCAAAGCAGCCAAAGUACCAGGUCAACUGGCCGAUGGCUGUCCAGGAUGCCUAAUUGGCUCAGAAAUGAUCUCGAAUUUCGGAUCAGAGACCUCUAGGGUCCAAGUUGGAAGGGAUGAUACAACUCCGCUUGUAAAUGCUUUGGUUUAUGGACCACUUCUUCAUCCUUUGAGGGUGGUGCAGAAUAGCGGCUAAGGGCAUUCCCUGUUGAGCACCGAGUGUGUGUUCCUCCUCUGCUCUCUGCUAGCCGCAAGGCUGGGGGCACCCAGUGGGUGCUGGGCAAAUGCUAGCGGUACAUUCGACGUGCUACAUGACUGACCUCUGACCUCGGCUGUGUGAUCCCCUUCCCGUUGCAGAUGUGGAAUCUAAGGUUCAGACAAGUGCACCCCCACACAGCAUCCCCACACCCCUUUGCCCCACUCUUUCUAUUAAGUCGCUCCUCCUUGUGUCUCUGCUACCUAAAUGACAUCGGUCCCUCGAGUCUGCUCCAAUGCUACCUGUUCUAUAAAUUCUGCCUCUAGAACGGAGUUCAUCUCAGCUUCCUCCGAGCUGCAUAGCACUUUGUUCAUAACUCUAUCGCGCUGUGGAGCUCACUGGGCCACACUAGGCAAGAAAAAGGACCGAGGCGAGGACGUGACACACUGCAGACUGCGGUAAAGACCAGAGAGAGACGGACACAACGAAGGCACGUUUCGCCCCUGCAGCAACGCGUUCCCUCCUUCUCCUGCCCCACAGUCGGACACACCGCGGGGCCUCUCAAAGCCCUCACCACGUUCUGGUUCCUAUCAAAGCUAACUCCACACACACUCUCUCUUCCCUAAGGCGGACUACCUUAGGGGGAGGAAACGGCUCAGUGUCACCUCCGCGCCCGUCAUGGCACAUGGCCGAGGGUUGCAAGUGCUGAAGCAUGCCUGUUCCACUGAUCUGAGAAGAGCUGGCUGAUAGUGGUGAUGGUGCUGAAUGGCGGCAGAGAUGACAGUGAUAACAGGGAGGUUACCUGAACCGAAACCCAGCCGUCACGAAGGGUGAUGUGCACACGAUGUUUCGCUAUGACCGAGUGAACAACAAGGGAUCCACGAAUCAGACCUAAAACGUAGCCCACUCGCUGGCCAACUGGAAAGCAAUGGAAAAUGGAAAAGGCAUAUGGGGGGCGCCUACCUUAUCAGCUUGAGCCCGAUCCAUAGAUUAAUGUGGCGUAGCAGUGGCAUGUGGAAAUCAUUGAAAAACCCUGUUGUUACUGUUCAUUGAGGAAGAUGUAGAAAAGAUCCAAAGGUACAGGGAAGAGAAACAGUCACAGUACUACAAAAUUUCAUGACAGUUCUCUCGCACCUGUCUGAUUUGACACAGCUGAGAUCAGGCUGAUCCUGUGUGUCUCACAAUAUGUUUUAUUUAUUCUUUUUGAAUAAAUAACACACGCAGAAAGUACAAAGCUCAAAAGUCACAAAGAGCCGGGAGUGAAAAGGCUCUCUCCUACUCCUGCCUUCUGCCCACCGUUUUCUCCCAGGUCCCUCAUAGAUCCUUCCCGAGGAGUCCUCUGCCUACCUCUGAACAGUUGUUUUGAGUGGGUUAAUAGUCAGUCCUCAAUCCUUCGAGGUCCUCAGAAACCAAAAAUUGUCUGUAAGUACGAAGUAUGUCCCUAUUGUAGCGUGUCUGUGCUGAUAAAUGAUAAAAUGUUACCGCCUCUAUGUCAGUUACACAACCGGAAGCAGAUAGUGCCACUCUUCCCAAAGACUAUUCUUAGCUGACAAAUGUGGUUGGAGGUACUCAACCGAGAUACAAUCCUUCAACAGGCCCCUGUCCCAAAGAUUUCCUGAGAUGUUGCCAGGAGCCCAUAGUGGUCUAAAAAACGGAGAACUUGAAAUCAGAGUCUGUGUGUGUUGGGUUGUCGCAGCUAAGACGUGAACGGCAGGCCCGCGUUCCGAAAGAACCCAUCUGAGAAAGUUACAGAAGGCAUCUCCGAUUCACAACACGCCCCCCGCCAACCCCCCACUGAAUAACACGUCGUCUGGCAACAGGAGGCGUUUGAUUACAUUUGGAUGGAACGCCUGCAUCAACUCCAGUUGUCCCCGAAUUGGAACUGCUGGGCCUCACGUGCUGCAGCCAACAGUUUGCCUUCACCCACUCCCCUCUCUGAAAUGAACCUUUCUCUGGGAAAACAAGAAACCUACGUGCCAUCCUGGGUGAGAGACGAACAAUGGCUGCGUCCCAGCAUCGCAUCCCAAGCGUGACAGGCAAGAGCACACUGAGGGGUUUCCAACAACGAGCCAUGCUUCAAGCAUCUCUGGAGAUGCCCUCUGAACCAGAGGACCCAAAUGUUCUCCCCGGAGCCCUGCGGUCUCUGUGUUUAAUUCAGUGCGUGGGCCUUAAGUUCUCACUGCGUGAGGUCUAAGGCACCAAGCUACUGUCCCCUUUAGCAAGCCUCCAUAACCUCCCUCCCCAUGCUCUGACUUUGCUUAAUCACUGCAGCAGGUGGAAUAAUGGCUCCUCAAAGACACCAUCACCCUAAUACCCAGA
Long non-coding RNA from Neofelis nebulosa (Clouded leopard), 3790 nucleotides. RefSeq lists it as uncharacterized. The record is from RefSeq and is a predicted model, not a curated record. Lineage: Eukaryota; Metazoa; Chordata; Mammalia; Carnivora; Felidae. The transcript is spliced from 3 exons.